Molecule: long non-coding RNA, 2134 nt
Organism: Chenopodium quinoa (quinoa)
Lineage: Eukaryota; Viridiplantae; Streptophyta; Magnoliopsida; Caryophyllales; Amaranthaceae
Exons: 6
Source: RefSeq, a predicted model, not a curated record
ACGCAUAUGAGUUGUGUACAAUAUCAUAAACAAGGUUAUUUGCGUCGCUUUUUUAUAAUAAAGUGACGCAAAUAACUCUUUUGGCUUUAGGUUUUCUGCGUUUUUUUACCUUAGUUUUUCAUCACAUACGCCUACAUUCACCAACAAAAAGAAAAAAACAAGAGUUCUUCAAUUCCAGUGAAUUGCUACAGCAAAACACCCACAAAUUUGUCUCUGAAAUCCAACAAAUUAGGCCAAAAAACUGCGAUUCCCCAGCAAAUUUAACAUUUAAAUUAAAAUUGCAGUCAAGUUGAAGCAAAUCCGAGCAAUUUCGAGCAAAAAUUUAGACCAAAAACCCUAAGAAAUUCGAACCCUUAAACCCAGAAAAAUUGAUUGUUUCCGACCAAAAAUCCCCCAUUUCGAGCAAAAAAUCAACUCAAAAGCAUACGAAUUCGAACCCUAGAAACCCCAAAAAAUUCAAUUUCGGUCUUCAAGUUCGAUUGGGGGAUUUCGAGGGGGGAUUUCUUGGGUUUUUGGCAGCGACACAAUAUACCCUAAGAAAUUCGUCCCAUUUCAAUCAUAAAUAAUUUUUGUUCGGAUUUUAGUAAAGAAAUUACAGCAACAAUAGUUUCAGUCAAGAAAUUACAGCAAAAAUAAUUGUUCGAAUUACGUCUUUUUUUGGGUUUAAGGGUUCGAAAUCCCCCAUUUCAGUCAUAAAUAGAAAUUGUUCGAAUUUCAGUCAAGAAAUUACAGCAACAAUAAUUCGAGGGGGGAUUUCGGCUUGACAUUGUUGAAUUUGUGAAGUCAAUUUCACCUAAGAUAAGAUUUCUUCUAUUUAUGUUCAUUCUUUUCAUGGUAGAUAGAAUGUAGCAUUUAACUUGAACAAUGACUUAGUUUAAUUUCAGGUUUAGUGUUAGUUCAUUAAUUAGAAAAUAUAUAUGGCAGAUUUUAGUUGAAUAUAUAACUGGUUGCAUCUUUGAGCUGCUGAUUUUUGUGCUGCUGGUUUGCAAUAUAUUACUAAUUUCAAAUAUAUAACUGAAAUCGAGUGCACAGUAUGACUAUAUGAGCGGUUUUGCAAAAAUAGAUAAGACACGUGUUGUCGAUCUUCAUCCUGGCCAUUAAAUUCAGUAACAUUGACCCUUGUUUUUCAACUGUCUUAUCUUUAAUUUGCCGUAAAAAUGCUGCUAAAUAAAUUACAAAAUACAUGUAAGACUUGCACUCGUUUAGUUGGAAGUCAGUGUUUACAUAUAUGUUAUUUAGUUGGAAGUCAGUGUUUACAUAUAUGUUAUUUAGUUGGAAGUCAGUGUUUACAUAUAUGUUAUUGGGUCUCUUAUUUAGUUGGAAGUCAGUGUUUACAUAUAUGUUAGAAGAGUGUUUUUUGAGGUUUUCUGUGGACUGAUACUAUGAAAUCUUGUUGCCUGACCAUUGUAAUUGUAUUAGCUUUGUUGUGAUGUUGAUUAAUAAGAGAGAUGAAGAAGGGCAAUUACAAGUACUAUCAGCUCACUUGAGAUUGCUGAAGCAGAGAGUAUUGAUCUAGAUUCAAAAUUUCGUGCCCUGGUUGCUAUUGGAUCAUUGAUUCUUAAUUAUGCGGAAGUGAAUUCCACAAGUUGCUCGAGGUUCUGGUUGUGGACAAACGAUUAAGGCGGUAUGCUUUUCGAAGUUUUAAAGCAUUAAGUGGACAAUCUAGGAGAAGUAAAUUGACAUGGCAUUUGGGACAGUGUCCUCAACAAUUGGGUGGACGUGAGUGUGGCUACUUCGUCCUGCGUCAUAUGUACGAAAUACUUGAACAUCACCAUAGCAAUGAGGAUCUUAUUCAGUUGUGUUGAUAGGAUUUUUCAAGAACUACACCGUACACCGAGGAGGAGAUAAAUGAGAAUCGAGAUAUUUGGGCAGAGUACUUAUGUAAUGUUCAACUUUAGAUUUACACUUAGCGCAUGUUGGACUCUUGUUUUGGAUUAUAGGCUUGAAAUGAAUGAAUUUGGUUAAUUAGUGUUGGGAUGAUGAGUAUAAUGUCUAUGAUAUUGAGAUGUAAUUUAUUGGACAGGUUGUUAAUAUAAUGCCGUCAUUCCCAAUUUUAUGGGUAGGCCAAAUUACAAAGGAGACUCUGCCGAAAUUUACAUUUGCAUUAUUCAAUAAUAUUGCAUUUUAAUUUCAA